Molecule: non-coding RNA, 866 nt
Organism: Misgurnus anguillicaudatus (oriental weatherfish)
Lineage: Eukaryota; Metazoa; Chordata; Actinopteri; Cypriniformes; Cobitidae
Source: RefSeq, a predicted model, not a curated record
UCAGGCAAGAAAGUGACAUGACCUGCUGCCAACUUUAAUAAAAAUAUAUUAUCUUCUCAUACAUCGUUUUGCUAUUGAUGUCAUAUUAAAUAGCAAUCAAAUUGAUUACUAUUUUGAAAAUGUAUAAUUGAAGAUUCAUAUUGUCUUGAGUGCUGUUUUUAAUAUAAAAAGAAUGUUGAGUUUUCAGAGUCUUUAUUGUCAUUUUUUUGUGAUAGGACCCUACCAGACUAUAUUUGAAUACGGCAUACCCAUGAAUUCUGGAACUUUUAUUUCUUAACCCAGUUUGGAGGAUAAGAGCUUACCAACUAUAAAUAUGCUGAGGUGAUGUAUUGCAAAAUAGCCAACAUACAACAAUUAAAGGAUAAUUGCAGCCUAUAUCCUGAUUAAGAUAUGGAUGACCCUCUGUCUGGUCAACAAUAGUUUAAAUAUGGACGGGACAGUGAUGUGGCAGCUCUUCCCUGGCUCAUUCACCUCUUGCCUUCAUUUGUGAAAGGAGGAAAGACUGGAGAGGGUCAAUGUGCAACUGAAGCUACUGAUUGUGCUGUGUGAUGAGCAUCAAUCCAUGCUUUGAGGUGGAUGAAUCAGCACAGCCCUGCCUGCUCUGCGUUGGGAACAAAAGUUGCAUCCAGAAUUUUUGCAUCAUUCUGGACCAAAAAGCCAUUCCCUGCAUGAUGAAGACCACUGAUGCAGCCUUCCACUACAUCAUGAGUAAAACAACUACAGAACUAAAUACCAGGUUGGAACGUGUUUAAGAAAAAUGAAACGUCUUUUGAAUUGAAAUGUCUGUUUUGUUAUGGAAAAAUCUUUAGUAUUGUGAAGGAUAAGCAUUUCUGCUUGUCGAUAAGGUAAUUGCAUGUAUUUUAAUG